This 253-nucleotide ribosomal RNA is filed under the name uncultured bacterium. RNAcentral's name for it is "partial 16S ribosomal RNA". It matches the Rfam family "Bacterial small subunit ribosomal RNA", at positions 524 to 776 of the family's 1533-position model. The record is from RNAcentral.
UCCGAAGGGGGCUAUCGUUGUUCGGAAUUACUGGGCGUAAAGCGCGUGUAGGCGGGCCGUUAAGUCGGGGGUGAAAGCCCAGAGCUCAACUCUGGAAUUGCCUUCGAUACUGGCGGCCUGGAGCAUGAUAGAGGCGAGUGGAAUUGCGAGUGUAGAGGUGAAAUUCGUAGAUAUUCGCAGGAACACCAGUGGCGAAGGCGACUCGCUGGAUCAUUGCUGACGCUGAGACGCGAAAGCGUGGGGAGCAAACAGG